UUCCGUAGGGUGUGCCUGCGGAGGGAUCAUUACCGAGUUUACAACUCCCAAACCCCUGUGAACAUACCAAUUGUUGCCUCGGCGGAUCAGCCCGCUCCCGGUAAAACGGGACGGCCCGCCAGAGGACCCCUAAACUCUGUUUCUAUAUGUAACUUCUGAGUAAAACCAUAAAUAAAUCAAAACUUUCAACAACGGAUCUCUUGGUUCUGGCAUCGAUGAAGAACGCAGCAAAAUGCGAUAAGUAAUGUGAAUUGCAGAAUUCAGUGAAUCAUCGAAUCUUUGAACGCACAUUGCGCCCGCCAGUAUUCUGGCGGGCAUGCCUGUUCGAGCGUCAUUUCAACCCUCAAGCCCAGCUUGGUGUUGGGACUCGCGAGUCAAAUCGCGUUCCCCAAAUUGAUUGGCGGUCACGUCGAGCUUCCAUAGCGUAGUAGUAAAACCCUCGUUACUGGUAAUCGUCGCGGCCACGCCGUUAAACCCCAACUUCUGAAUGUUGACCUCGGAUCAGGUAGGAAUACCCGCUGAACUUAAGCAUAUCAAA
RNAcentral lists this ribosomal RNA (538 nucleotides) under Fusarium fujikuroi. Its description in RNAcentral is "eukaryotic LSU rRNA". The stretch from base 181 to 334 matches the Rfam family "5.8S ribosomal RNA". Lineage: Eukaryota; Fungi; Ascomycota; Sordariomycetes; Hypocreales; Nectriaceae. The record is from RNAcentral.